RNAcentral lists this ribosomal RNA (1525 nucleotides) under Zhinu manmiaoyangi. Its description in RNAcentral is "LSU rRNA". It matches the Rfam family "Eukaryotic large subunit ribosomal RNA", at positions 56 to 1369 of the family's 3401-position model. Lineage: Eukaryota; Metazoa; Arthropoda; Arachnida; Araneae; Tetragnathidae. The record is from RNAcentral.
GGAAMKAAAMCAACASGGANUUCCUUAGUAACGGCGAGCGAAAAGGGAAAAGUCCAGCGCCGAAUCCCAUGCCCGAGAGGGUGUCGGGAAAUGUGGCGUAUGGGAGUGAGCGUACCGGAGGUAGACCGGAGCAGCAAGUCCCCCUGACCGGGGCUCUUUCCCAGAGUGGGUGCCAGGCCCAUAGCUGCCGGAGUCUCCUUCGGUUGCGAUCUCCUAAGAGUCGGGUUGUUUGGAAGUACAGCCCUAAUCAGGUGGUAAACUCCAUCUAAGACUAAAUACUGCCGUGAGACCGAUAGCAAACAAGUACCGUGAGGGAAAGUUGCAAAGAACUUUGAAGAGAGAGUUCAAGAGUACGUGAAACUGCUCAGAGGAAAACGGGUGGACCCACGAAGUCCUGUGGCGGGAGGAUUCAGUCCGGAGACACUCGUAGCCGCCUCGCUAUUCAGAAGGACCCAUUCACCGGGCCGAGCGAGGCGGCGAGCGUGGCCGACGGACGCAUUUCUUUCCCGCCCGUAAGGACGCCGCGACCGGUUGGUCGACUCGAUCUGAAGUACGACCGCUGGCAGGUGGCCGGAGGAAAAUUUUAAAGUUUCCCGCCGGUGUCUAGCCUGGUACGUAGCACGAUCGAGUCCCGACCGGGUUGGAUGCGGCCCUUUAUUGGGCCGUGACGCCUCCUCCUUUAAAACGAAGCGAGUCGACGCGGCAGGUGAGACGCUUUCGGGCCGAGCGCACGGACUGACUCCGUGGCCAAGCCGAUCGACGUCCCCGCUGGCUGCGCUGGACUUCGCAGACGGACCAAGGAGUUUAACAUGUAUGCGAGUCACUGGGACUCGACAAAGCCCAAAGGCGCAAUGAAAGUAACAUUUCAUGAGUUGGGAUCCUCUCUCUUUUAUAGAAGGGGCGCACCAACGGCCCGUCACGUCCUAUUUACUUAGGUGUGACGGAGUCAGAGCAUACACGUUAUGACCCGAAAGAUGGUGAGCUAUGCCCGGGCAGGACGAAGCCAGAGGAAACUCUGGUGGAGGUCCGCCGCGGUUCUGACGUGCAAAUCGAUCGUCAGACCCGUGUAUAGCGGCGAAAGACCAAUCGAACCAUCUAGUAGCUGGUUCCCUCCGAAGUUUCCCUCAGGAUAGCUGGCGCUCGUAUAUAUCAGUCUCAUCCGGUAAAGCGAAUGAUUAGAGGCCUUGGGGCCGAAACGACCUCAACCUAUUCUCAAACUUUAAAUGGGUGAUGAACCUACCUUUCAUGACUGAAGGUAAGGUGACCGAUGAGAGUGCCCAGUGGGCCACUUUUGGUAAGCAGAACUGGCGCUGUGGGAUGAACCAAACGCCGGGUUAAGGCGCCCGAUGCGAGACGCUCAUGAGACCCCAUGAAAGGUGUUGGUUGCUCUAGACAGCUGGGCGGUGUCCAUGGAAGUCGGUAUCCGCUAAGGAGUGUGUAACAACUCACCAGCCGAAGCAACUAGCCCUGAAAAUGGAUGGCGCUCCAGCGUCGAGCCCAUACCCGGCCGCUUCGGCAGAACUUC